Molecule: ribosomal RNA, 502 nt
Filed under: uncultured bacterium
Lineage: Bacteria
Description: partial 16S ribosomal RNA
Rfam family: Bacterial small subunit ribosomal RNA
Source: RNAcentral
AUCGAACGCUGGCGGCAUGCUUAACACAUGCAAGUCGAACGGCAGCACAGUGUGUAGCAAUACACAUGGGUGGCGAGUGGCGGACGGGUGCGUAACGCGUAGGAAUCUGCCCUGAAGCGGGGGACAACCCGAGGAAACUCGGGCUAAUACCGCAUAAUCUCGAGAGAGAAAAGCUGGGGAAACCUGGCACUUCAGGAGGAGCCUGCGUCCGAUUAGCUAGUUGGUAGGGUAAAAGCCUACCAAGGCGAUGAUCGGUAGCUGGUCUGAGAGGAUGAUCAGCCACACUGGGACUGAGAAACGGCCCAGACUCCUACGGGAGGCAGCAGUGGGGAAUAUUGGACAAUGGGGGCAACCUUGAUCCAGCAAUGCCGCGUGUGUGAAGAAGGCCUUCGGGUUGUAAAGCACUUUAGUUGGGGAAGAAGAUGUGUAGUUUAAGAGAUGACACAUUUGACGGUACCCGAAGAAUAAGCACCGGCUAACUCUGUGCCAGCAGCCGCGGUAA